CAAAAAUAGGCAAACUUGGCUUGGGGAUAAUAAGGAAAUCCAAGUCGAAGGUGAAGGUACUGUUGCUAUCCAAACUAGUCAAGUUCGAUGAGUUGGGUAUAUCUUUUGAAACGCAAAUUAGAAACUUUUGCAAGCUUCAAAAGAUUCAAGGCAUUAGUUGAAAACCAAGUUGGUAACAAAGUUAAGGUUCUUCGUACUGACAGAGGAGAUGAAUUUUUAUCACACGAUUUUUAGUUAUUUUUUGAAGAAAAUGGCAUUCACAAGAAAUUGACUGCACUUUACACUUUUGGAGCAAAAUGAGAUUACCAAGCGGAAGAACUGAACUGUGAUGGAGAUGGCCAGGAGCAUGUUGAAGAGUAAAGAUCCGUCAAAUCAGUUUUAGGCUGAGGCUGUUCUCUCCAACAAAAGCAGUCAGGGGUCGAACACCUUUUGAAAUCUAAAAGGUAGAAAGCCGUGGGCAAGUCAUGUAAGAAUUGUUGGUUGUAUUGCAUAUUGUUGCACCUUGUUUUACACAAGUCAAAAUAAAGUACAACUUACGGUACUCUACAAGAUUAAUUGGUGUUUAGAGUUAGCCAACUAGUAUUUAAGGUAUAUUAGGACACCUAUAUUACACUAUGUAAUGUAAAUUUGAUUAUGACCAUUGACAUUCUAGGUAAGGGUUCAAGUUA
Molecule: long non-coding RNA, 668 nt
Organism: Nicotiana tabacum (common tobacco)
Lineage: Eukaryota; Viridiplantae; Streptophyta; Magnoliopsida; Solanales; Solanaceae
Source: RefSeq, a predicted model, not a curated record